GCCAGCAGUCCUGUCGAACUGCAGCUCGCCACUGGCAGCCCACUGGAGCUCAGCAGGUGUGAGCCUGGUUGGUACCUGGAUGGGAGACCUCCUGGGAAAAACCAAGGCUGCUGCUGGAA
RNAcentral lists this ribosomal RNA (119 nucleotides) under Lepisosteus oculatus (spotted gar). Lineage: Eukaryota; Metazoa; Chordata; Actinopteri; Semionotiformes; Lepisosteidae. The record is from RNAcentral.